GAGGGUGGUGCCAGGCCAAUGAGCUGACCCAGGCACCUCAGCAGACUGAGGUGCAGCAGCCUGUGCCAUUGAUCCUGCCCAGGGAGGUGGUGCUCUAAAGGCCUCCUGGCCCCAAAGACAGGGAUAGGCAGUCACUGAUCAUGUAGAUUCGGGGGGACUCCUGCUCCUUCGGAUCCGGAUCCUACUCCCACCCAG
RNAcentral lists this long non-coding RNA (195 nucleotides) under Fukomys damarensis (Damara mole-rat). Its description in RNAcentral is "lncRNA (ENSFDAG00000029850.1)". The record is from RNAcentral. Lineage: Eukaryota; Metazoa; Chordata; Mammalia; Rodentia; Bathyergidae.